UUUUUUUUUUUUUUUUUUUAAGUUUUUGUGAGAGCUGUGACAUAUACCAAGAUGGUCGGGUUUUCACUUUACCUUUUGCUGGUGGUUGCUGUCUGCUGUCAGGCCUAUCGAGUUGCUAGGAAAUUUCGGCCAAGAUACCAUCUAAGGAGUCGGUGGCUUAGGUCACAUGGCGGCCCUGAUUCUGCUACAGAAGACUUUAGCCCAACCCAAAGUGAGGAAGCCCCAAGUCAUUAUGCACCUGUUGAGGAAUAUCUCCCGGAAAGCCAAAAGAGUAUGCAGCAGGCGCAGACAAACGAGAUGAAGCUUUCCCAGGCCCCAGCUCCAGUGUGGGAGAAUCAAGUGAAGCCCUCACUCCCUGCCCAGACAAGCCGGGAGUGGGCUCCUGCUGAUGGUCCAUCAGGGUCAACCCCUGAACGCUUCGUCACGAUCACUACGCCGUCAGGUUUUCGAACUCGCUACAUAGUGAAGUCUUUCAACCGUUAUGCGGUUGGGAUUUUGGAGUUUUCCCAGACCACCUACAUCCCCCUUGGACGUGCCUUCCCCUGGAUUCCUGGUACAGCUCCUGUUCCUACCUCUCCGCAUGAAGCCCAAACUGAAGAGCUCCUCUACGGAAGGUAGUUCAAGGUUCUUUUCAUUUUUUUUUUUUUUAGUGAAGGGUUGGCAUAAGUUUGAGCCCAUAAUAGCACAGACAAACAAGAUGGUUUCCCAGGGCCCCAGCUCCAGUGUGGGAGAAUCAAGUGAAGCCCUCACUCCCUGCCCAGACAAGCCGGGAGUGGGCUCCUGCUGAUGGUCCAUCAGGGUCAACCCUUGAACGCUUCGUCAAGAUUACUAGGACGUAAGGUUUUCAAACUCGCUACAGAGUGGUCUUUCAACCGUUUUGUGCUUGGGAAGUUGUGGUUUUCCCAGACCACCUACAUCCCCCUUGGACGUGCCUUCCCCCGCAUCCCUGGUAAAGCUCCUGUUCCUACCUCUCCGCAUGAAGCUCAAACUGAAGAGCUCCUCUACGGAAGGCUUAGGAUUUGAGGAGUGGACAUUUCUGUGCCAUGGAUGUCUGUCUUCAUAUUUGAGUGGAUUAAAUUAACUUUGCCCUGGUUACUGAUGUAAAUGCUGUGUAUUUAUUUAUUUAUUUAUUUAUUUAUUUUCCCCUCCCAGGCUCAUCUGGAUGUCUAGCUUUCACAGUAAAUUUUGGCUUAAUAAAGGUUUCCUUUAUCCUGUA
Long non-coding RNA from Clupea harengus (Atlantic herring), 1216 nucleotides. The record is from Ensembl. Lineage: Eukaryota; Metazoa; Chordata; Actinopteri; Clupeiformes; Clupeidae.